RNAcentral lists this ribosomal RNA (372 nucleotides) under uncultured organism. Its description in RNAcentral is "partial 16S ribosomal RNA". It matches the Rfam family "Bacterial small subunit ribosomal RNA", at positions 527 to 896 of the family's 1533-position model. The record is from RNAcentral.
AGAGGGUGCAAACGUUGCUCGGAUUUACUGGGCGUAAAGCGCGUGUAGGCGGACUCGCAAGUCGGUUGUGAAAUCCCUGGGGCUCAACCUAGGAACUGCAUCCGAAACUGCUUGUCUUGAGUAAUGGAGAGGGUGGCGGAAUUCCCGGUGUAGAGGUGAAAUUCGUAGAUAUCGGGAGGAACAUCAGUGGCGAAGGCGGCCACCUGGACAUUUACUGACGCUGAGACGCGAAAGCGUGGGGAGCAAACAGGAUUAGAUACCCUGGUAGUCCACGCCGUAAACGAUGAGAACUAGGUGCAGCGGAUAUUGACCUCUGCUGUGCCGUAGCUAACGCGUUAAGUUCUCCGCCCGGGGAGUAAGGCCGCAAGGCUA